AGGACGAACGCUGGCGGCGUGCUUAACACAUGCAAGUCGAGCGGAAAGGCCCUUCGGGGUACUCGAGCGGCGAACGGGUGAGUAACACGUGAGUAACCUGCCCUAGCUCUGGGAUAGCUCCGGGAAACCGGGAUUAAUACCAGAUACGACCACUUAGACAUCUGUCGUGGUGGAAAGGAUUCCGGCUAGGGAUGGGCUCGCGGCCUAUCAGCUUGUUGGUGGGUAACGCCUACCGAGGCGACGACGGGUA
RNAcentral lists this ribosomal RNA (250 nucleotides) under uncultured bacterium. RNAcentral describes it as "partial small subunit ribosomal RNA". It matches the Rfam family "Bacterial small subunit ribosomal RNA", at positions 26 to 285 of the family's 1533-position model. The record is from RNAcentral.